ACUCCUACGGGAGGCAGCAGUGGGGAAUAUUGCACAAUGGGCGAAAGCCUGAUGCAGCAACGCCGCGUGAGGGACGACGGCCUUCGGGUUGUAAACCUCUUUUAAUAGGGAAGAAGCGAAAGUGACGGUACCUGCAGAAAAAGCACCGGCUAACUACGUGCCAGCAGCCGCGGUAAUACGUAGGGUGCAAGCGUUAUCCGGAAUUAUUGGGCGUAAAGAGCUCGUAGGCGGUUUGUCGCGUCUGCUGUGAAAACUGGAGGCUCAACCUCCAGCCUGCAGUGGGUACGGGCAGACUAGAGUGCGGUAGGGGAGAUUGGAAUUCCUGGUGUAGCGGUGGAAUGCGCAGAUAUCAGGAGGAACACCGAUGGCGAAGGCAGAUCUCUGGGCCGUAACUGACGCUGAGGAGCGAAAGCAUGGGGAGCGAACAGGAUUAGAUACCCUGGUAGUCCAUGCCGUAAACGUUGGGAACUAGAUGUAGGGACCAUUCCACGGUUUCUGUGUCGCAGCUAACGCAUUAAGUUCCCCGCCUGGGGAGUACGGCCGCAAGGCUAAAACUCAAAGGAAUUGACGGGGGCCCGCACAAGCGGCGGAGCAUGCGGAUUAAUUCGAUGCAACGCGAAGAACCUUACCAAGGCUUGACAUAUACCGGAAAUGGCUAGAAAUAGUCCCCCCGCAAGGUCGGUAUACAGGUGGUGCAUGGUUGUCGUCAGCUCGUGUCGUGAGAUGUUGGGUUAAGUCCCGCAACGAGCGCAACCCUCGUUCUAUGUUGCCAGCACGUAAUGGUGGGAACUCAUAGGAGACUGCCGGGGUCAACUCGGA
This 819-nucleotide ribosomal RNA is filed under the name uncultured Actinomycetes bacterium. RNAcentral describes it as "bacterial SSU rRNA". It matches the Rfam family "Bacterial small subunit ribosomal RNA", at positions 335 to 1167 of the family's 1533-position model. The record is from RNAcentral. Lineage: Bacteria; Bacillati; Actinomycetota; Actinomycetes.